GUCCACGCAGUAAACGAUGAAUACUAGCUGUAUGCGAUAUACUGUAUGUGGCAAAGCGAAAGCGUUAAGUAUUCCACCUGGGGAGUACGUUCGCAAGAAUGAAACUCAAAGGAAUUGACGGGGGCCCGCACAAGCGGAGGAACAUGUGGUUUAAUUCGAUGAUACGCGAGGAACCUUACCCGGGCUUGAAAUGCAGACGACCGACAGGGAAACUUGUCUUCCAGCAAUGGCGUCUGUGUAGGUGCUGCAUGGUUGUCGU
RNAcentral lists this ribosomal RNA (259 nucleotides) under uncultured bacterium. RNAcentral's name for it is "partial 16S ribosomal RNA". It matches the Rfam family "Bacterial small subunit ribosomal RNA", at positions 793 to 1055 of the family's 1533-position model. The record is from RNAcentral.